This 74-nucleotide transfer RNA is filed under the name Rickettsiales bacterium. RNAcentral's name for it is "tRNA-Leu". It matches the Rfam family "tRNA". From Rfam's summary of the family: Transfer RNA (tRNA) molecules are approximately 80 nucleotides in length. Their secondary structure includes four short double-helical elements and three loops (D, anti-codon, and T loops). Lineage: Bacteria; Pseudomonadati; Pseudomonadota; Alphaproteobacteria; Rickettsiales. The record is from RNAcentral.
CUUAAGAUAGCUUAGUGGUUAAGCGUAGGACUCAAGCUCCUUCUACGUUGGUUCAAUUCCAACUCUUAUGACCA